This 338-nucleotide unclassified non-coding RNA is filed under the name soil metagenome. RNAcentral describes it as "partial contains 5.8S ribosomal RNA, internal transcribed spacer 2, and large subunit ribosomal RNA". The stretch from base 1 to 120 matches the Rfam family "5.8S ribosomal RNA", at positions 35 to 154 of the family's 154-position model. The record is from RNAcentral.
GAUGAAGAACGUAGCGAAAUGCGAUAAGUAAUGCGAAUUGCAGAAUUCCGUGAGUCAUCGAAUCUUUGAACGCACAUUGCGCCCUCUGGUAUUCCGGAGGGCAUGCCUGUCUGAGCGUCAUUGUCAACCCUCAAGCUCAGCUUGCUGUUGGGUCCCCGUCGUUGCUUUAACGGCGGACCCGAAAGGUAAUGGCAGAGUCCGUGAGACCCUAGACGCAGCGAGCUUCUAGCACGCGUCUGGACGUUUUUCGGGCUCGGUCUUAACUAGAUGAUAACUUCCGAUUGACCUCAGAUCAGGUAGGGAUACCCGCUGAACUUAAGCAUUCAAUAAGCGGAGGA